AAAUUGAAGAGUUUGAUCAUGGCUCAGAUUGAACGCUGGCGGCAGGCCUAACACAUGCAAGUCGAACGGUAACAGGAAGAAGCUUGCUUCUUUGCUGACGAGUGGCGGACGGGUGAGUAAUGUCUGGGAAACUGCCUGAUGGAGGGGGAUAACUACUGGAAACGGUAGCUAAUACCGCAUAACGUCGCAAGACCAAAGAGGGGGACCUUCGGGCCUCUUGCCAUCGGAUGU
This 231-nucleotide ribosomal RNA is filed under the name Escherichia coli. RNAcentral's name for it is "partial 16S ribosomal RNA". It matches the Rfam family "Bacterial small subunit ribosomal RNA", at positions 1 to 228 of the family's 1533-position model. The record is from RNAcentral. Lineage: Bacteria; Pseudomonadati; Pseudomonadota; Gammaproteobacteria; Enterobacterales; Enterobacteriaceae.